AUACAUAUCAAUCAACCUGUUUUCUAACACUGAGUUUGGCGCUGAGCUACUAUAAUAUCUCUUGUAUUUGUGAUUGAUUUAUAUUGCUUACUUUGUUAAUUCUGCUAUCUUUAUUUAUUAUCUACUAAGUAUUUCACAAACACUUCUAAGAUUAUUUUUGGGCACAUCUUGUUUAAGUUAAUUUUUAAGAAAGUUAAUUCACCCCUCCCUC
This 211-nucleotide long non-coding RNA is filed under the name Elaeis guineensis (African oil palm). RNAcentral describes it as "long non-coding RNA (EGUI_LNC020017)". The record is from RNAcentral. Lineage: Eukaryota; Viridiplantae; Streptophyta; Magnoliopsida; Arecales; Arecaceae.